GACGAACGCUGGCGGCGUGCUUAACACAUGCAAGUCGAACGGAAAGGCCCUGCUUUUGUGGGGUGCUCGAGUGGCGAACGGGUGAGUAACACGUGAGUAACCUGCCCUUGACUUUGGGAUAACUUCAGGAAACUGGGGCUAAUACCGGAUAGGAGCUCCUGCUGCAUGGUGGGGGUUGGAAAGUUUCGGCGGUUGGGGAUGGACUCGCGGCUUAUCAGCUUGUUGGUGGGGUAGUGGCUUACCAAGGCUUUGACGGGUAGCCGGCCUGAGAGGGUGCCCGGCCACAUUGGGACUGAGAUACGGCCCAGACUCCUACGGGAGGCAGCAGUGGGGAAUAUUGCACAAUGGGCGGAAGCCUGAUGCAGCAACGCCGCGUGCGGGAUGACGGCCUUCGGGUCGUAAACCGCUUUCGCCUGUGACGAAGCGUGAGUGACGGUAAUGGGUAAAGAAGCACCGGCUAACUACGUGCCAGCAGCCGCGGUGAUACGUAGGGUGCGAGCGUUGUCCGGAUUUAUUGGGCGUAAAGGGCUCGUAGGUGGUUGAUCGCGUCGGAAGUGUAAUCUUGGGGCUUAACCCUGAGCGUGCUUUCGAUACGGGUUGACUUGAGGAAGGUAGGGGAGAAUGGAAUUCCUGGUGGAGCGGUGGAAUGCGCAGAUAUCAGGAGGAACACCAGUGGCGAAGGCGGUUCUCUGGGCCUUUCCUGACGCUGAGGAGCGAAAGCGUGGGGAGCGAACAGGCUUAGAUACCCUGGUAGUCCACGCUGUAAACGGUGGGUACUAGGUGUGGGGUCCAUUCCACGGGUUCCGUGCCGUAGCUAACGCUUUAAGUACCCCGCCUGGGGAGUACGGCCGCAAGGCUAAAACUCAAAGGAAUUGACGGGGCCCCGCACAAGCGGCGGAGCAUGCGGAUUAAUUCGAUGCAACGCGUAGAACCUUACCUGGGUUUGACAUGGAUCGGGAGUGCUCAGAGAUGGGUGUGCCUCUUUUGGGGUCGGUUCACAGGUGGUGCAUGGCUGUCGUCAGCUCGUGUCGUGAGAUGUUGGGUUAAGUCCCGCAACGAGCGCAACCCUUGUUCACUGUUGCCAGCACGUUAUGGUGGGGACUCAGUGGAGACCGCCGGGGUCAACUCGGAGGAAGGUGGGGAUGACGUCAAGUCAUCAUGCCCCUUAUGUCCAGGGCUUCACGCAUGCUACAAUGGCUGGUACAGAGAGUGGCGAGCCUGUGAGGGUGAGCGAAUCUCGGAAAGCCGGUCUCAGUUCGGAUUGGGGUCUGCAACUCGACCUCAUGAAGUCGGAGUCGCUAGUAAUCGCAGAUCAGCAACGCUGCGGUGAAUACGUUCCCGGGGCU
Molecule: ribosomal RNA, 1346 nt
Filed under: uncultured bacterium
Lineage: Bacteria
Description: partial 16S ribosomal RNA
Rfam family: Bacterial small subunit ribosomal RNA
Source: RNAcentral